Molecule: long non-coding RNA, 767 nt
Filed under: Felis catus (domestic cat)
Lineage: Eukaryota; Metazoa; Chordata; Mammalia; Carnivora; Felidae
Description: lncRNA (ENSFCAG00000045104.2)
Source: RNAcentral
GUCUCCUUUAAGAUUUCUUCUUAUUUUUAUAUGCCUGGUUGUGCUUUUCUUUUUAAUCAUCAUGCUUGGGCUUCCACAUACAUCAUGGAUCUGUCAUUUAUUGUCUUUCAUUAGUUUUAGUAAAUUCUUAGUUAUUGUCUCUUCACAUAUUUUCUAGGCCCUGUUAUUUCUCUUUAUUGCUUCCGGGACUCCAAUCAAACAUAUGCUACACUUUCAAUAAUGUCCUAUGUAUGGCUCUUGGAUCAACUUUUGGAUCGGAUCUUUCCACUAUUUACUUCUCCUUUUUAAAAUUAGUAUUGCCAUAUUUAUAUUGCACUUUGGGGCUAGUUUUCAUGAAGAAAGAACUUGCUGCAGUCACUUGAGACUUUCAACUUCUCCAUUUCACAUGGAUCUUUUGGGUAUCAAGUGUCACCCCUUCAAAUUUCUAUACUGGACUUUCAGCUUCAUCCUAAGACUCUAAAUGAAGCUGAUAAUGUAUCUACAGAAUAUGAACCCUACAUUCAAGAUCACAUUCAACUACAAAAAGUGGAUAAUUUGGGGUUUUGAUUUUUAAGGUACUAGAGUAAUGAAGUUUCCAACUUCUUUUGGGGUCUAACCUGUGGUAUAAAUAUGCUACCUUAUUAUAAGAACUGGUUAAUUAUAUCUAAUGAGGACACUUAAAAUGUACAUAUAUUUAGUUUUCCAGAUUGAAUAAUUUCCACUUUUUAAUUUUGCCUACAGGUUUUAUCUCACAAUAAAUUUUAUAAACAUUUUUUUCUGAAUUAUCA